This 332-nucleotide ribosomal RNA is filed under the name uncultured eukaryote. RNAcentral describes it as "partial 18S ribosomal RNA". It matches the Rfam family "Eukaryotic small subunit ribosomal RNA", at positions 1470 to 1796 of the family's 1831-position model. The record is from RNAcentral.
CCCUUAGAUGUUCUGGGCUGCACGCGCGCUACACUGCCGGAUUCAGCGAGUCAUAUCCUUAACCGAAAGGUUUGGGUAAUCUUUUGAAAGUCCGACGUGAUGGGGAUUGAUCAUUGCAAUUAUUGAUCAUGAACGAGGAAUUCCUAGUAAGCGCGAGUCAUCAGCUCGCGUUGAUUACGUCCCUGCCCUUUGUACACACCGCCCGUCGCUACUACCGAUUGAAUGGUUUAGUGAGAUCUUCGGAUUGGCGCCUACGCGGCUUCUCUGAGGCCACGCUGGAUGCCGAAAAGUUGCUCAAACUGUAUCAUUUAGAGGAAGUAAAAGUCGUAACA